RNAcentral lists this ribosomal RNA (254 nucleotides) under uncultured bacterium. RNAcentral describes it as "partial 16S ribosomal RNA". It matches the Rfam family "Bacterial small subunit ribosomal RNA", at positions 524 to 776 of the family's 1533-position model. The record is from RNAcentral.
UACAGGGGGGUGCAAACGUUGCUCGGAAUCAUUGGGCGUAAAGCGCACGUAGGCGGUUCGUUAUGUCGGAUGUGAAAGCCCUUGGCUUAACCGAGGAAGUGCAUCCGAAACUGGCGAGCUAGAGUACGAAAGAGGAUCGCGGAAUUCCCGGUGUAGAGGUGAAAUUCGUAGAUAUCGGGAAGAACACCCGUGGCGAAGGCGGCACUCUGGGACGGUACUGACGCUGAGACGCGAAAGCGUGGGGAGCGAACAGG